RNAcentral lists this unclassified non-coding RNA (253 nucleotides) under uncultured Caldilineaceae bacterium. Its description in RNAcentral is "contains 16S-23S intergenic spacer region". It matches the Rfam family "Bacterial small subunit ribosomal RNA", at positions 524 to 776 of the family's 1533-position model. The record is from RNAcentral. Lineage: Bacteria; Bacillati; Chloroflexota; Caldilineae; Caldilineales; Caldilineaceae.
UACGUAGGUGGCAAGCGUUAUCCGGAAUUACUGGGCGUAAAGCGCACGCAGGCGGUUCUUUAAGUUUGACGUGAAAGCUCCCGGCUUAACUGGGAGAGGUCGUUGAAAACUGGAGGACUUGAGGCAAUGAGAGGGGUGUAGAAUUCCAGGUGUAGUGGUGGAAUGCGUAGAUAUCUGGAGGAAUACCAGUGGCGAAAGCGGCACCCUAGCGUUGUUCUGACGCUCAUGUGCGAAAGCGUGGGGAGCGAACGGG